CCUACGGGAUGCAGCAGUGGGGAAUAUUGGACAAUGGGGGAAACCCUGAUCCAGCCAUGCCGCGUGAGUGAUGAAGGCCUUAGGGUUGUAAAGCUCUUUCGCUAGGGAAGAUAAUGACGGUACCUAGUAAAGAAGCCCCGGCUAACUUCGUGCCAGCAGCCGCGGUAAUACGAAGGGGGCUAGCGUUGUUCGGAAUUACUGGGCGUAAAGCGCGCGUAGGCGGGUCAUUAAGUUAGGGGUGAAAUCCCGGGGCUCAACCUCGGAAUUGCCUCUAAAACUGGUGGCCUUGAGUUCGAGAGAGGUGAGUGGAACUCCGAGUGUAGAGGUGAAAUUCGUAGAUAUUCGGAAGAACACCAGUGGCGAAGGCGGCUCACUGGCUCGAUACUGACGCUGAGGUGCGAAAGCGUGGGGAGCAAACAGGAUUAGAUACCCCGGUAGUC
RNAcentral lists this ribosomal RNA (440 nucleotides) under uncultured bacterium. RNAcentral describes it as "bacterial SSU rRNA". It matches the Rfam family "Bacterial small subunit ribosomal RNA", at positions 338 to 795 of the family's 1533-position model. The record is from RNAcentral.